CCUACGGGUGGCAGCAGUGGGGGAUAUUGGACAAUGGGGGAAACCCUGAUCCAGCGACGCCGCGUGAGUGAAGACGUACUUCGGUAUGUAAAGCCCUGUCAGCAGGGAAGAAAGAAAUGACGGUACCUGACCAAGAAGACCCGGCUAACUACGUGCCAGCAGCCGCGGUAAUCCGUAGGGGGCAAGCGUUAUCCGGAAUUACUGGGUGUAAAGGGAGCGUAGACGGUGAAGGAACUCUGGAGUGAAAGGCGGGGGCCCAACCCCCGCACUGCUCUGGAAAUUGCGUAACUAGAGUGCCCGAGAGGUAUGCGGAAUGCGUGGUGUAGCGGUGAAAUGCGUAGAUAUUAGGAAGAACACCAGUGGCGAAGGCAGCUUACUGGAGUGCAACUGACGUUGAGGCACGAAAGCGUGGGUAGCAAACAGGAUUAGAUACCCCUGUAGUC
RNAcentral lists this ribosomal RNA (443 nucleotides) under uncultured bacterium. RNAcentral's name for it is "partial 16S ribosomal RNA". It matches the Rfam family "Bacterial small subunit ribosomal RNA", at positions 338 to 795 of the family's 1533-position model. The record is from RNAcentral.